Molecule: ribosomal RNA, 209 nt
Filed under: uncultured Bacillota bacterium
Lineage: Bacteria; Bacillati; Bacillota
Description: uncultured Firmicutes bacterium partial 16S ribosomal RNA
Rfam family: Bacterial small subunit ribosomal RNA
Source: RNAcentral
CGCGCAGGUGGUUGAUUAAGUCUGAUGUGAAAGCCCACGGCUUAACCGUGGAGGGUCAUUGGAAACUGGUCGACUUGAGUGCAGAAGAGGGAAGUGGAAUUCCAUGUGUAGCGGUGAAAUGCGUAGAGAUAUGGAGGAACACCAGUGGCGAAGGCGGCUUCCUGGUCUGUAACUGACACUGAGGCGCGAAAAGCGUGGGGAGCAAAACA